GGGUCAGUAGGUUGGUCGUGCCACAGGUACGUACUGGCCUCACUGAUUCCUCCUUCCUGAAGAACCGUAAUGCCAUUAAUUUGGUGUUGCGGGGAAACAGGACUGUUACUUUGAAAAAAUUAGAGUGUUUAAAGCAAGCUAACGCUUGAAUACAUUAGCAUGGAAUAAUGAAAUAGGACGAUCGAUCCUAUUUUGUUGGUUUCUAGGAUUGACGUA
Molecule: ribosomal RNA, 216 nt
Filed under: Glomeromycotina sp.
Lineage: Eukaryota; Fungi; Glomeromycota
Description: partial small subunit ribosomal RNA
Rfam family: Eukaryotic small subunit ribosomal RNA (bases 40-216)
Source: RNAcentral